This is an RNA transcript of Propithecus coquereli (Coquerel's sifaka), 971 nucleotides long. It is a transcript of the gene named carbonyl reductase [NADPH] 1 pseudogene, with no coding region annotated. The record is from RefSeq and is a predicted model, not a curated record. Lineage: Eukaryota; Metazoa; Chordata; Mammalia; Primates; Indriidae. The transcript has a single exon.
CUAGCGCAGGCUCUCACAUAGUCUGCGCAGCUCCAGGGCUUUGGCCUGAUCCCUUCUCCGUGCAGGUGCCCCACGAACCCCGCUCAGCCAUGUCGUCCUGCAGCCGUGUGGCGCUGGUGACCGGCGCCAACAAGGGCAUCGGCUUCGCCAUCGUGCGCGACCUGUGCCGCCAGUUCUCGGGGGACGUGGUGCUCACGGCGCGGGACGCGGCGCGGGGCCAGGCGGCUGUGCAGCAGCUGCAGGCCGAGGGCCUGAGCCCGCGCUUCCACCAGCUGGACAUCGACGACCUGCAGAGCAUCCGCGUCCUGCGCGACUUUCUGCGCAGGGAGUACGGGGGGCUCGACGUGUUGGUCAACAACGCGGGCAUCGCUUUCAAAGUUGCUGAUACCACGCCCUUCCAUAUUCAGGCAGAAGUGACCAUGAAAACAAACUUUUUUGGUACCCAAGAUGUCUGCACAGAGUUACUCCCUCUAAUAAAACCCCAAGGCAGAGUGGUGAAUGUGUCUAGCACGGUGAGUCUCAGAGCCCUUAAAAACUGCAGCCCAGAGCUGCAGGAGAAGUUCCGCAGCGAGAACAUCACGGAGGAGGAGCUGGUGGGGCUCAUGAACGGGUUUGUGGAAGAUAACAAGAAGGAAGUGCACCAGAAAGAGGGCUGGCCCAGCACCGCAUAUGGAGUUUGAAAGAUUGGCGUGACAGUCCUGUCGAGAAUCCAGGCCAGGAAACUGAGUGAGCAGAGGAAAGGAGACAAAAUCCUCCUGAAUGCCUGCUGCCCAGGCUGGGUUAGAACCGACAUGGCAGGACCCAAGGCCACCAAAAGUCCAGAAGAAGGCGCAGAGACCCCUGUGUACUUGGCCCUUUUGCCCCCGGAUGCUGAGGGGCCUCAUGGACAGUUCAUAUCAGAAAAAAGAGUUGAGCAGUGGUGAGCUGGACUCAAUAGUCCAUCCGUAUGCCUCAUUUUGUACCCUGUCCUG